UGCCACGUGGCACACAUUUGGUAGCCACAUCAGAGCUUAACGGAUCAAUAGACGGAAAAUGUAACGAAUAUAUUAUUUUGAAAUAAAAUAGUACGUGAAGUAUGAAAGUGAAAUGUUUUAAAGAUGUUGUAUGGGGUUGUAAUAGACCUCAAACCUGAGGGGCUACUAUGUAAUUUACCCUAGAUAUAACUAUAAGGUAAUUCAAAAUACUUGUACUGAAAACCAAAAUCGAAAAUGAAAGUGGGUUUCGCCCAAGCAUACGUAGCGUCAUGUACUUCGAAAAUAGAUGGGUCUUUGGGUCGAGCCCCAACAAUAACUACUCAGUAACAUCUACCGUAGACGAGUCUACCUGCUCACUUGCAUAGCGAAUCCAAUGAGCCACUGAUAUCACAGUCGACCGCUCGCGAUAUCGACCACACAUUGUUGUUUUGAUAAGCAACCAGUACUUUCCUAAGGGUGCACAAUUACCAUUUUACCACUCAAAGUGAGUGUGCAUUGAUCAUCCGAUUCUUGCCUCGAUCGCGCUAUCGUACUAUUCUAGAGCGCACCAAUCAAAUCUAUUAGAAGUGUUUCGACAUCCACGUACUCACGAACAAUAAGGUCCUGGAAUGAAGCAGUGGAAAGAUACAUAUAUCGUUGGAAAAGAUUCACUAGAGUACGAUAUCAUGUUUAUGAAUUGUAGCAAGAUAAUGAGAGGUGACUAUUUAUUUAUGCAUGAAGAUAGUGAUUGGUGAUGCAAUCUGCUGACCACCUGCACUACAACCUUCAUCAAUCUCUUACCAAAAAAUGGCUCAACCAUCACACUCAUGUAAAACUCUUUCUGGUAAGCUUGUGAAAAUGUUAUGCUCCUAAGGUUCCUGUCUGAAUUGAUAAGAACUGAGCCCAUACUUCAGUUGAGUCAAUCUCUCAUGAAAUCCUUACGGAUUGAGCAAGAAACCAUGUUAAGAAAGCUAAAAGAACAUUCAAGAAUUUGAGGGUCAAAACAAGUCCAUCAAAACUAUAGUACAAGACCGAGGAUACUUCGCAUUUCAGCACACCUUGUGAAGAUUUUCAAUUUCCAACGGCUGUAACAUUUUUGGAAAUUGAUGAGAAUAACGCCUACUACCAAAGAGUCUCCUAAGAAAAGUAUAAAAUCUAAACAAAGUCAACACUCGAAGGAUUUGGUGUGAAGCUGACAGUCGAUAGUUAGGGAACUUGACUUCGUCGUUAGAGUAAGCGAAAAAGUUAUUGAUAGAAAAAUUGUCAGGAAUUGUUCUAAGGAUCCACACGAACUUCCUCAGCGGGAACGAGUCCGAGAACAUUGAUUCGAUCCUACCAAACUACCACUUAGGUUUUUCCGUUUCAUUGCUGAUACGACUGUGCCCGCCAUUCCUAGGGAAUGCAUAUUACAGAGUAUCGGUCCGAUGUUGAAAGUCAUCUAACAAACUAAUUCGUCACUGAUGAGGUACAAUCCCGACAUGAGUUUCUUCUUCCAUAAGAUGUAACUAUUCAUGCAUAAUGAGGGUUGCACAACCAUGCCGAGAGACAACAAAUCUGGAAGUCGUGACAUCCAAAUGAUGUCAUGACUGACAAACUACUAGAGUACGAUGUGAUUCUUAUGUAUGCUCUAAACAACCUCGCUCGCUUUGAUACCAAAUUGACACACCCAACCCCGAUAUCCACUGAUCAAAAGGGUAGGCAUGCUCUAGUCGACACCCGAAGGCGACGAAGACAUACUUACAUGCAUGCGACUAAUGAAUAAAAAUAAAUCUUUUAAAUUAAAAUACAAUGAGUAUGUAGUUAAGGAACAUGUUCAAAGCAUACAACUAAUCUAGAACACUAAAAAGAAUAAUAUAAAAUUGAAUGAACAAAGGAAUGGGUCCUACAUCGAGAAGACUCAAAGAUGCCGAUGCAGAAGUGCCUUGACGCCAGGAUUGUACACCUCAAUUCUAAGUCCUGAGGGGGUGCAAAACAAACAUAAGUGGACCAAGUUGAUAUAUAUAUAUAUAUAUAUAUAUAUAUAUAUAUAUAUAUAUUAUCAACAUACUAACCCCUAAAGUUCAUGAAAACUAAUAGCAUAUUAUGUGAUAGGUUUUCCGAAAACCCUAACAUUCCAUAAAACCUUUCAUAAAACAUAAAUAAGAUAUAGUGUGCUAAUUAGUGGUAUCAUAAUCGCCCGUAGGCAGGACUGCCACGCACCUCUAGGCAGAACAUACGCCCGUAGGCAGGACCGUCAUGCACCCGUAGGUAGAACAUACGCUCGUAGGUAGGACAUACACCCCUAAGCUGGACAGUGACCAUUAGAUACGCACAAAACAUUGAAAAUAAUCUUUCCAACAAAAGUACUUAUAUCCAAGGAAGAAAAUAUCGGUAAUAUCGGAAAUAUCGGUAGUCCGAAAACACGGAAAUAUCGAUGGA
Molecule: long non-coding RNA, 2397 nt
Filed under: Malus domestica (apple)
Lineage: Eukaryota; Viridiplantae; Streptophyta; Magnoliopsida; Rosales; Rosaceae
Description: long non-coding RNA (MDOM_LNC014184)
Source: RNAcentral